Molecule: transfer RNA, 60 nt
Filed under: Ornithodoros tartakovskyi
Lineage: Eukaryota; Metazoa; Arthropoda; Arachnida; Ixodida; Argasidae
Description: tRNA-Ala
Source: RNAcentral
AGAAUAGUAUUUAAUGAUAUAAAAUCUAACCUGCAAUUAGAAAUAGCCUUCGCCUAUUCU